This 20-nucleotide small nuclear RNA is filed under the name Arabidopsis thaliana (thale cress). RNAcentral describes it as "snRNA_12483". Lineage: Eukaryota; Viridiplantae; Streptophyta; Magnoliopsida; Brassicales; Brassicaceae. The record is from RNAcentral.
UGCCACGAUCCACUGAGAUU